CAGCAGCCGCGGUAAUACGUAGGGUGCAAGCGUUAAUCGGAAUUACUGGGCGUAAAGCGUGCGCAGGCGGUUAUGUAAGACAGAUGUGAAAUCCCCGGGCUUAACCUGGGAACUGCAUUUGUGACUGCAUAGCUAGAGUACGGUAGAGGGGGAUGGAAUUCCGCGUGUAGCAGUGAAAUGCGUAGAUAUGCGGAGGAACACCGAUGGCGAAGGCAAUCCCCUGGACCUGUACUGACGCUCAUGCACGAAAGCGUGGGGAGCAAACAGGAUUAGAUACCCCUGUAGUCCCUGUCUCUUAUAA
This 301-nucleotide ribosomal RNA is filed under the name uncultured bacterium. Its description in RNAcentral is "partial 16S ribosomal RNA". It matches the Rfam family "Bacterial small subunit ribosomal RNA", at positions 509 to 809 of the family's 1533-position model. The record is from RNAcentral.